GAUGAACGCUGGCGGCGUGCCUAAUACAUGCAAGUCGAGCGAACAGAUGAGGAGCUUGCUCCUCUGACGUUAGCGGCGGACGGGUGAGUAACACGUGGAUAACCUACCUAUAAGACUGGGAUAACUUCGGGAAACCGGAGCUAAUACCGGAUAAUAUAUUGAACCGCAUGGUUCAAUAGUGAAAGCCGGUUUUGCUGUCACUUAUAGAUUGAUCCGCGCCGCAUUAGCUAGUUGGUAAGGUAACGGCUUACCAAGGCAACGAUGCGUAGCCGACCUGAGAGGGUGAUCGGCCACACUGGAACUGAGACACGGUCCAGACUCCUACGGGAGGAAGCAGUAGGGAAUCUUCAGCAAUGGGCGAAAGCCUGACGGAGCAACGCCGCGUGAGUGAUGAAGGUCUUCGGAUCGUAAAACUCUGUUAUUAGGGAAGAACAAAUGUGUAAGUAACUAUGCACGUCUUGACGGUACCUAAUCAGAAAGCCACGGCUAACUACGUG
This 497-nucleotide ribosomal RNA is filed under the name uncultured bacterium. RNAcentral describes it as "partial 16S ribosomal RNA". It matches the Rfam family "Bacterial small subunit ribosomal RNA", at positions 28 to 507 of the family's 1533-position model. The record is from RNAcentral.